CCUACGGGAGGCAGCAGUGGGGGAUAUUGCACAAUGGGGGAAACCCUGAUGCAGCGACGCCGCGUGAGUGAAGAAGUAUUUCGGUAUGUAAAGCUCUAUCAGCAGGGAAGCAAAUGACAGUACCUGACCACGAAGCCCCGGCUAACUACGUGCCAGCGGCCGCGGUAAUACGUAGGGGGCAAGCGUUAUACGGAUUUACUGGGUGUAAAGGGAGCGUAGACGUGUAUGUAAGGCUGGAGUGCAAGCCCGGGGCGCACCCCCGGGACUGCUUUUGAAAAUGGGUAACUGGAGGACAGGAGGGGCAGGCGGAAUUCCGGGGGUAGCGGUGAAAGGCGUAGAUAUCAGGAGGAACACCGGCGACGAAGGCGGGCUGCUGGACUGAAACUGACGUUGAGGCUAGAAAGCGUGGGGAGCAAACAGGAUUAGAUACCCUUGUAGUC
This 440-nucleotide ribosomal RNA is filed under the name uncultured bacterium. RNAcentral describes it as "partial 16S ribosomal RNA". It matches the Rfam family "Bacterial small subunit ribosomal RNA", at positions 338 to 795 of the family's 1533-position model. The record is from RNAcentral.